UACGUAGGUUGCAAGCGUUGUCCGGAAUUAUUGGGCGUAAAGCGCGCGCAGGCGGUUCCUUAAGUCUGAUGUGAAGGCCCACGGCUCAACCGUGGAGGGUCAUUGGAAACUGGGGAACUUGAGUGCAGAAGAGGAAAGUGGAAUUCCACGUGUAGCGGUGAAAUGCGUAGAGAUGUGGAGGAACACCAGUGGCGAAGGCGACUUUCUGGUCUGCAACUGACACUGAGGCGCGAAAGCGUGGGGAGCGAACAGG
This 253-nucleotide ribosomal RNA is filed under the name uncultured bacterium. RNAcentral's name for it is "partial 16S ribosomal RNA". It matches the Rfam family "Bacterial small subunit ribosomal RNA", at positions 524 to 776 of the family's 1533-position model. The record is from RNAcentral.